This 484-nucleotide ribosomal RNA is filed under the name uncultured bacterium. RNAcentral's name for it is "partial 16S ribosomal RNA". It matches the Rfam family "Bacterial small subunit ribosomal RNA", at positions 30 to 507 of the family's 1533-position model. The record is from RNAcentral.
AUUGAACGCUGGCGGCAGGCCUAACACAUGCAAGUCGAGCGGAUGAAGGGAGCUUGCUCCUGGAUUCAGCGGCGGACGGGUGAGUAAUGCCUAGGAAUCUGCCUGGUAGUGGGUGAUAACGUCCGGAAACGGGCGCUAAUACCGCAUACGUCCUGAGGGAGAAAGUGGGGGAUCUUCGGACCUCACGCUAUCAGAUGAGCCUAGGUCGGAUUAGCUAGUUGGUGGGGUAAAGGCCUACCAAGGCGACGAUCCGUAACUGGUCUGAGAGGAUGAUCAGUCACACGGGAACUGAGACACGGUCCAGACUCCUACGGGAGGCAGCAGUCGGGAAUAUUGGACAAUGGGCGAAAGCCUGAUCCAGCCAUGCCGCGUGUGUGAAGAAGGUCUUCGGAUUGUAAAGCACUUUAAGUUGGGAGGAAGGGCAGUAAGUUAAUACCUUGCUGUUUUGACGUUACCAACAGAAUAAGCACCGGCUAACUUCGUG